This 915-nucleotide ribosomal RNA is filed under the name uncultured archaeon. Its description in RNAcentral is "bacterial SSU rRNA". It matches the Rfam family "Archaeal small subunit ribosomal RNA", at positions 1 to 922 of the family's 1478-position model. The record is from RNAcentral.
UUCCGGUUGAUCCUGCCGGAGGCCAUUGCUAUCGGUGUCCGAUUUAGCCAUGCGAGUUGUACGUAUAACGUAGCAAACUGCUCAGUAACACGUGGCCAAUCUGCCCUAUGGACUGGGAUAACCUCGGGAAACUGAGGCUAAUCCCGGAUAGCACAUCCAGCCUGGAACUGGCGGAUGUGUGAAACGCUCCGGCGCCAUAGGAUGAGGCUGCGGCCGAUUAGGUAGACGGUGGGGUAACGGCCCACCGUGCCGAUAAUCGGUACGGGUCAUGAGAGUGAGAGCCCGGAGACGGACUCUGAGACACGAGUCCGGGCCCUACGGGGCGCAGCAGGCGCGAAACCUUUACACUGCACGCCAGUGCGAUAGGGGGACACCGAGUGCGAGGGCAUAGAGCCCUCGCUUUUCUGUACCGUAAGGUGGUACAGGAACAAGGGCUGGGCAAGACCGGUGCCAGCCGCCGCGGUAACACCGGCAGCCCAAGUGAUGGCCGAUAUUAUUGGGCCUAAAGCGUCCGUAGCUGGCCGGGCAAGUCCGUCGGGAAAUCCACGCGCUUAACGCGUGGGCGUCCGGCGGAAACUGUUCGGCUUAGGACCGGAAGAUCCGAGGGGUACGUCUGGGGUAGGAGUGAAAUCCCGUAAUCCUGGACGGACCACCGAUGGCGAAAGCACCUCGGAAGGACGGAUCCGACAGUGAGGGACGAAAGCUAGGGUCUCGAACCGGAUUAGAUACCCGGGUAGUCCCAGCCGUAAACGAUGUUCGCUAGGUGUGUCACUCACUACGAGUGAGUGAUGUGCCGUAGGGAAGCCGCUAAGCGAACCGCCUGGGAAGUACGUCCGCAAGGAUGAAACUUAAAGGAAUUGGCGGGGGAGCACUACAACCGGAGGAGCCUGCGGUUUAAUUGGACUCAACGCCGGA